This 3364-nucleotide long non-coding RNA is filed under the name Canis lupus familiaris (dog). RNAcentral's name for it is "lncRNA (ENSCAFG00000056676.1)". The record is from RNAcentral. Lineage: Eukaryota; Metazoa; Chordata; Mammalia; Carnivora; Canidae.
CUUAAAAGACAAUAUCCAUUAAAAAAAAUUAUGCCCAUUGGGCCUGAUAAAUUUUAAGAAAACACAAAUUUGGUCUUUUUCAGAAGAGAACCAGGGAAACAGCCCCACCUCCAGACUGCCCGGGGUGACAAAGAUGGCAGCUGAAGGUUUAGAUGGGGUGGGUACAAUCGGACUUGGGAGCUGCCAGGAAUGGGGGUAAUGGAGGGCACGAGGUCUGCAGCCACACUCUCCAGAGGGCAGAGGAGGAGAGGUCCCUUUCAAAAUGAAUCCAAAUCAAUGAUGUGAGACCAGCCUAGCCAGGAGGAAUCCCUGCCCAACUGGCAGUGCAUCUCCACCCUAACAAGACAGAGAAAACUCCAGAAAUGCCACCCUGUACAUUCCUGCGACAGACAAAGCCCCAGGAUUUGGCCAGAGACAGAGAGCAGCUCCACUCACAGCACACCCUAAUUCAUGGUGUGUGUGUGUGUGUAACACUAGGUUGCAAGCUGAUGGGGUGGGGGACGGGUGAGGCUGACCACUGAGGGGUUGGAGUGCCUGUACAGAUGGAAGCUGAAAGGAAGUUCUAAUUAGCACAAAGCCGGCACCUUCCAUUAAUAGCUCUCUGUAGGCUCCUGGAUGCCGCUGAAGAGAGGCAAGUUGGAAUGUGUGAGGCUCACCUGUCCCCGGCUCAUUAACAAACCUUGGGUGAGAACAGGGCUGUCCUGGCAGAAGACCAGCCCAAAUCAGCUCCACCCCCCACCCCCCAAAAAAUGUAAUUACAGGUCUGACUUCUGGGCCCAUCCGAGGGAAAAGUGUUAACGCCCAGGUUCAAUGUGACCCUAAACAUGGAAUCUCUGGACAUUCACUCUGUCAGGCCUCUGAGGACAGUGCUCCCUCCAGACUUGAAAUAAAACCUUAAAAAAGAGUCCUAGCAUACAUUUCCAUGUCUGUGAAACUCUAGACAUGUCAAACUAAUCCAGGUAAGAGACAUCAGAAGGGAGGUGAGCAGGGUUUGAUUGAGAAGGGGCAGGAGGGAAGCUUUUGGAAGGGAAGGAGAUGCUGUCUGUCUGAGCGUUGGCUACAUGGGUGUAACUGCACUUGUCAGAACCCAAACAACUACACACCUAUGAUCUAUUUCUAUAUGUAAAUCAUACUUUGAAUAAUACAUAUGCAGAUGUAUUACAUAUUGCGGCUUCUAUCACACAAAUAUACAUACAAAGGUCUCAGCCCCUCACUGAUUUCUCCAUAGCCGGUGAUCUCCCCAUGUGAAGGUUCGUUCACACCCUUUUCAAGGGUCACAGUGGAGAAAGGGGCCAGAGCAGAUGGGGAAAUGGGCUGUGCACAUCUCACAAACACAUGGCCUCGGCUGGCCGGGUAGGGAGAAGGAAUGUCUGAAUUGAAUCAAUUAGCUGCAGAAAACUUCAGAAAAGAAGUAAGGCCCUUCAUAAAAACAAAGCCCACUCCUUAAUCCCCAAAGGCAAUCCUCUCCCCCAUUCCCAUGGCUAUUCCUCAGUAAACAAAGAAAUCCCUCCUUCCACAUCCACACCUCAAUAUUCAUUAUGAGCUGACGUUAGAGGCUGCAUUCCAGCCUCCCAGAGCGCCCUAAUGACUGGAAACCUAAGUAAGGGCAGACGACUUGCAGGGCUUUCCUUCGGUUUCUCUCCACCUCUCCAUGCCUCUCCCCUUCCCAAAGCAGUCUGUUCUUUCUUCCUUCCUCUCUCUCCCUCUUUCUCUCCUUUUCUUCAAAUUAACGAAUAAGGAAAGCAAGGCAAGCAAAUCAAGGCAGAGACAUCACUAACUCUACUUUGUUCAUUUAUUUUGACAAGUGCAGUUUAAUUUUAAUUAUUUAUGAUAAUACUUCAUAGUAGAAGAGUAAAUGUGCUGGGGUAUAUUUGGUAACAUUAAUGAAGUCUGCCUAAUAGGAACCUUCACUCCAGCACCCCGCCUGGAGAGCUGCCUGCUGGAGAAGUAGGGUGAGGCCACUGGCCUGUGGUAGGGUUUGCAAUUUUUUUGUGGGGGUGGGGGACUUAAUGGGUUUGAGGAUUAGCAAAGGGAAAAUUAACCUGAUUCUAGAGAAGAGGCAAAUACGCAAGCCCAUAAUCGUGUGUCGAUGUGGAUUGUGUGUAUUUAAACACCGAGAGAGCACACUUUGUGAUAAGGAGGCCCAGGCGUGCACACAUGCCACAUGCAUAUUUACACAUGAAUCUCAAAUGUGCAAAUCAGCAGAGGCCUAAAGAAAUUAGGCUCUGGGCAAUUAAAAAUUGAAAUAAAAAAUGGAAAAUGUGAUACACAGAGUUCUAUAUCUCUUCAAAGUACCUUUCUCCUACUUAUGUGCCUCAAGUGGGCAAACAUGGUGAAAAAUGUGGAGGAUCAUAAAAAGGUAGGGGGUUUCUUUAGCUGAUUACUUAGAAAUGCUCCCUUCAACACACAAUGAACCAUGAAAAACGGGUCUCAGUCAAUGCAACGUCAUUUUAAAUGGGACUGAUAUUUUUUUUAUAGCUCCCACUCAACCCUGCCACCAUCCUUAACAUAACUGAUGGUCAUAUAAGUGUGUGAUUUGAUAACGCAGACCUUAUAUACAAGAAUACAUAUACUAUAUACAGAAACAUGUAAUCACUUGCCCCCAACACAUAGAUAUUUGGUAUACCUCAAGAUACACACUCCAAAGUAUUUACACGAGUAUUUCCUACAAUAAUGAUAGACUUGUCAUGAUACAAUUAAUGCUUAAUUUUUAAAUGUAGAGAAAUAGCUGACCCUUGCUCUUAAAAUAAAUAAAAAGAACCUCAAGACCUCCCUGCUCCUCAUCUCUACCUUGUUGCCAAUGCCCAGGGUGAUUUAGGAACAUUUCGGGAGAUAGGAGAGGGUUAUCUUGAGACCAACUGCACUAUUAGCUAGCCGAUUACUGGAUGAUUCCAGUGGGGGAAAAGCAAGGUCACUUCACGACUAGAGUGUGUCAAAGGUUCAGAGAAGAGGGAUCCCUGGACACCACCAUGUGUGUGUGAGAGAGACAGCGUUAGGAGAACCUGCCUGCACCCAUGAAGUCCCUUGGAACAACUCCCUACCCUCCAAGCGGUGGAAUGUGUUGGCCAUCAGGAAGCGAUCAUCAGCUGGAGGCACCUGGCUCCCAGCUUUCUCGAAUGGCCCCAAGCUCCUCAAGCCUUUCCCCUUAAAGCUGUGGCCUGGCUCUGGCGUGGGAAAGGCAGUUUGGAGCUUUUCACAAAUCCAGUAUCCCCUUGAACCAAAACCAAUUAGCCUGGCCCAAGGUCCUGUCAUUGAGGCCCUGGCCCUCUUUUCAAACCCCUGCGGCUCAAUUGCGGUGAGGGGCCGGCCAGUGAAUGCAGGGACCACUUUAAGUGGUGCUUAAGCCGGACCGGCCUGGAAGGAA